Molecule: unclassified non-coding RNA, 268 nt
Filed under: Ascomycota sp.
Lineage: Eukaryota; Fungi; Ascomycota
Description: partial contains 5.8S ribosomal RNA, internal transcribed spacer 2, and large subunit ribosomal RNA
Rfam family: 5.8S ribosomal RNA (bases 1-71)
Source: RNAcentral
GUGAGUCAUCGAAUCUUUGAACGCACAUUGCGCCCUUUGGUAUUCCGAAGGGCAUGCCUGUUCGAGCGUCAUUUAAACCCUCAAGCUCUGCUUGGUGUUGGGUGCGGUCGGUGGACCCUCCCGUAACUCGUUGGCGGUUGGCGUUGCCUCAAAGCGUAGCAAUUUUCGCUUCUGGGUUGGCGACUCCCGCCGGAAAAGCUUUUUCAAAGUUUGACCUCGGAUCAGGUAGGGAUACCCGCUGAACUUAAGCAUAUCAAUAAGCGGAGGA